Molecule: ribosomal RNA, 278 nt
Filed under: uncultured prokaryote
Description: partial 16S ribosomal RNA
Rfam family: Bacterial small subunit ribosomal RNA
Source: RNAcentral
CACGGGGGUUGCGAGCGUUGUCCGGAAUUACUAGGCGUAAAGGGCAGGCAGGCGGAUCCAUAAGUUUAUCGUUUAAGGCGUCGGCUUAACCGGCGUAGGGCGGUAGAUACUGUGGAUCUGGAAUGCGGUUGGGGAAGACAGAAUUCCUGGUGUAGCGGUGGAAUGCGCAGAGAUCAGGAGGAAUACCGAAGGCGAAGGCAGUCUUCCAAGCCGUUAUUGACGCUCAACUGGGAAGGUGUGGGUAUCAAACAGGAUUAGAUACCCUGGUAGUCCCUGAG